Molecule: ribosomal RNA, 279 nt
Filed under: uncultured bacterium
Lineage: Bacteria
Description: partial 16S ribosomal RNA
Rfam family: Bacterial small subunit ribosomal RNA
Source: RNAcentral
UGCCAGCAUCCGCGGUACUACUGAUUGUCCGAGCGUUAUCCGGAAUCAUUGGGUUUAAAGGGUCCGCAGGCGGUCAAUUAAGUCAGAGGUGAAAGCCCAUCGCUCAACGAUGGAACUGCCUUUGAUACUGGUUGACUUGAGUUAUACGGAAGUAGAUAGAAUAAGUAGUGUAGCGGUGAAAUGCAUAGAUAUUACUUAGAAUACCGAUUGCGAAGGCAGUCUACUACGUAUAUACUGACGCUGAGGGACGAAAGCGUGGGGAGCGAACAGGAUUAGAUA